Molecule: ribosomal RNA, 446 nt
Filed under: uncultured bacterium
Lineage: Bacteria
Description: bacterial SSU rRNA
Rfam family: Bacterial small subunit ribosomal RNA
Source: RNAcentral
AGAGUUUGAUUAUGGCUCAGGAUGAACGCUGGCGGCGUGCCUAACACAUGCAAGUCGAACGAAGCAUUUAAGACGGAUUUCUUCGGAAGGAAGACUUUUAUGACUGAGUGGCGGACGGGUGAGUAACGCGUGGGCAACCUGCCCCGCACCGGGGGACAACAGCCGGAAACGGCUGCUAAUACCGCAUAAGCGCACAGCUCCGCAUGGAGCAGUGUGAAAAAUUCCGGUGGUGCGGGAUGGGCCCGCGUCUGAUUAGCUGGUUGGCGGGGCAACGGCCCACCAAGGCGACGAUCAGUAGCCGGCCUGAGAGGGCGGACGGCCACAUUGGGACUGAGACACGGCCCAGACUCCUACGGGAGGCAGCAGUGGGGAAUAUUGCACAAUGGGGGAAACCCUGAUGCAGCGACGCCGCGUGAGCGAAGAAGUAUUUCGGUAUGUAAAGCUCU